UUCCGGUUGAUCCUGCCGGACCAGACUGCUAUUGGGGUUCGACUAAGCCAUGCUAGUCUUCCCGCAAGGGAGGCAGAAGGCUGAGUAACACGUAGUUAACCUGCCUUCAGGAGGGGAAUAACCUCGGGAAACUGAGGAUAAUACCCCAUAGGUUCGGGGCACUGGAAUGUCCCUGAACUCAAAGCUGGAUCUGUGAAGGCGCCUGAAGAUGGGACUGCGGCCGAUCAGGUUGUUGGCGGGGUAAUGGCCCACCAAGCCUAAGACCGGUAGGGGCAGUGAGAGCUGGAGCCCCCAGAUGGGUACUGAGACAAGGACCCAGGCCUUACGGGGCGCAGCAGGCGCGAAAACUCCGCAAUGCGCGCAAGCGUGACGGGGGGACCCCAAGUGUCCUUGCACUGCAAGGACUUUUCCUGAGUCUAAAAAGCUCAGGGAAUAAGGGCUGGGUAAGACGGGUGCCAGCCGCCGCGGUAAUACCCGCAGCUCAAGUGGUCUGGACUUUUAUUGGGUCUAAAGCGUCCGUAGCCGGAUUUGUAAGUCCUCUGUGAAAUCUGACAGCUUAACUGUCAGGCGAGCAGGGGAUACUACAUUUCUCGGGACCGGGAGGGGCCAAGGGUACUCCUGGGGUAGCGGUGAAAUGCGUUAAUCCUAGGGGGACCACCUGUGGCGACUGAGUGGGUGGUGAGUGAAAUAAUAAAAUUCGAGCCACACACGAAGCCAUUUAAGGCGCUUGGCCAGAACGGGUCCGACGGUGAGGGACGAAAGCCAGGGGAGCGAACGGGAUUAGAUACCCCGGUAGUCCUGGCCGUAAAUUAUGCGGACUAGGUGUUACGUGCCCUUCGUGGGCAUGUGGUGCCGAAGGGAAGCCGUUAAGUCCGCCACCUGGGAAGUACGGUCGCAAGGCUGAAACUUAAAUGAAUUGACGGGGGAGCACCACAAGGGGUGGAGCCUGCGGUUUAAUUGGACUCAACGCCGGUA
RNAcentral lists this ribosomal RNA (975 nucleotides) under uncultured archaeon. Its description in RNAcentral is "bacterial SSU rRNA". It matches the Rfam family "Archaeal small subunit ribosomal RNA", at positions 1 to 923 of the family's 1478-position model. The record is from RNAcentral.